UCAAACCUAUGCCUCCUAGCUAUAUUAAGUAUUGAUUCAAAACAAAAAUUCGAAAAACAAAUGUUCACAAAUCUCUCUAUCUCUCUCUAUCUCUCUUCAUCCCCUUCACACCAAACUUCGCCGGAGAUUUUGCACCGCCAAAACAGUUGACAUUUCCACAAUUCUUUAACAAUCCCUCUCUCUCUCUCUCUCUCUCUCUCUCUCUCUCUCUCUCUCUCUCUCUCUCUCUCUUCAUCCCAUCCAGGCCACCUUCACCGGAGAUUUCCACCGCCAAAAAAAUCAGCAAAUUAUCUUCCUCCACACCAACUUCACCGGAGAUUUCCACCACCAUCGGAGUUUCAAAUGCGUCGGUCUUCUUAGCAAAAGGUGGUUGUUUUUCUAAUAUUGCAAAAAAAAAA
Long non-coding RNA from Helianthus annuus (common sunflower), 398 nucleotides. RefSeq lists it as uncharacterized. The transcript has 2 exons. Lineage: Eukaryota; Viridiplantae; Streptophyta; Magnoliopsida; Asterales; Asteraceae. The record is from RefSeq and is a predicted model, not a curated record.